GAAACUCGCGUUGAGGUGGGGAGGUUUCAUCUCGUCGAUCCCGUGCGGGCGAAACUCCGACGCCCGCUCCUCGGCCUUCUUCCCGCCUCCAUCGGCCUUCUUCCCGCCUCUUCCCGCGCCACUUCUACCUCUGCCCUUUCCCUUUUGAUUCGUGCGUGUAGUCUGAACUAGAGCAGAGCGGAUCCAGCGCUGCAUCUAGCAGAGUAGCGAAGGGACUCGGGGGCAGUCGGCUAGGAAUCAAGAAGGGACCGUCGCAUGCGUCAUCGCUGCCAGUUCCGCGGCCGGUGAUUUCCGCUGCCGGGGCUGACCCAACGGUACCGCGAGGAGGAUGGACACCGCAGCAAGCACCAAAUUCAUGGUAGUUGAUUUUGGUGUGUGUUUGCCUGGUUGCCGAUCUGAAUGCAAGUGCUUGCCUGCAACUAGCUGAGUUUAAUUCUGAAUGCAAGUGCUUGCCUGCAGCUAAUUCUAGUAGGGUUGCGAUAGAAGACAAGUCUAAGUCUAGGAGCAUGAUCUAGUUUCGGUUGCUGCAUAUUCUGAUUUCUGACGAUGACAUGUCCACUGCAUGUUCUUGAUGGUUUUCCUCUAAUUAGAAGUAGCCAUUUUUUUAAUGAUCUUGGUAUCCUAGUUAUGCAAAAUUGCAGGUUGUGUUGGGUGCGUGUGCACCUGACGCUGACGCCGGAUGAGAAAUGGCUACAGGAUUACAUGGGUACAUAUAAUCCCAACAAGUUGUACCAUUUAAAUACUUUGUUUGUCUUGGAAAUGUCAAAGUGAAACUCUUGCAUUGUUGGAAUUGUUUCAUAGAUAGUUUCAUUUGAGUGUUGAUGACAUGUUAAUUUUGGUAACCGUGUAAUGACACUGGCCAUUGAGACUGGCCUUAGUUAAUAAGUUAA
Long non-coding RNA from Sorghum bicolor (sorghum), 890 nucleotides. RefSeq lists it as uncharacterized. The record is from RefSeq and is a predicted model, not a curated record. Lineage: Eukaryota; Viridiplantae; Streptophyta; Magnoliopsida; Poales; Poaceae. The transcript is spliced from 2 exons.